Dermacentor andersoni is the source of this 1349-nucleotide long non-coding RNA. RefSeq lists it as uncharacterized. The record is from RefSeq and is a predicted model, not a curated record. NCBI's taxonomy places the organism in Eukaryota, Metazoa, Arthropoda, Arachnida, Ixodida, Ixodidae.
GUCCUUUUGAAAAAAAAAAAUCAACCAGAAAACAUUUUGCACGCAUAUUGAAUCGAAACAAAUUUACACUCGUGGUUGUCGUCACUCCUGGAAUGGUCGCUGCGUUCACUAUCAGGAGGAAUUGCUGAGCCAUAAAAGUGUUCAGAAGCCAUUUCACGUUUCCGAAGAAAAUAAACCAUGUACACCUUGUUGCAUUUGCGCAACAUAGCAACGUUCCGUUGCCAGGAACAAAAUAUUUCGAGAUAAGAAUGUUUUUGUGAAUUUACAGAGUCAGGAGGAUGUGGAGCUUAGCGUAAUAAUUUUUUUGGGGCUUUGGCUUAUGGAGAAAUACAUUUACAAGUGGCAAAACUUAUCCAUAUCACUGCUCGCGGGCGCGCGCAGCCUCCACCACGUUUGUUUUGGUAGAUGAUGCGAAGGAUGAGCACAGAUGGCAGCACAAAUGGGCGCGCGUUCUUUAGGCGAAUGUUGCGGAAAUGCAACAACGCCUACAGGCAGCUUUAAACGGACUUUGCUUCUGGGUUUAACGCCGUUCAUCGGAAUGUUGCGUAAAUGCAACAAGGUGCAGUCAAGGGUUAAAGAGCCCCUCACCAGGCCACAGUUCAUUUCGGUUAUACGCUGGAAGUUGUUACGUGCCCUCUAGGGAGCGUUCUGCCGGAAGAAUAUUUCAGAAUGGUUCAGUAAUCGCCGAGAUAUUUCAGUGCUGCAAACCCAUGAUUUCCGGCGGCGAACGCCACUGUCACGGCAUUUGGUCAACAGAAACGCUCUCUCCACUUGCCCCGCCUAGCCAAAGCAAGCGAAAUUCCUUUCCUGCGUUCUCCCACACGGGAGCUCGAGUAUCGCGUGACGCAUACGUCACGGGACCCGCCUUCACUAUUCUUUCCUCGCUUUAUUUGCCGCGCGGCGCACCUCUGCUGAUGGCGUUGCGCGCGAGCUGCUGCAUAUGUCUCGUUUCGCGCAGCGCGCGAUUGUGCGCGCUGUGCACUAGAACACCUGACUAGCCGUACAAGUGAGCGCUACGCGAAUAUCGAGGCAGACCCGAGCGGAUCACAGAACAGGAUAGCACGCUGGGAACAAGGUGCAAAAUGACACAGUUUCGAUGUCCGCGCGUGCGACGCCACGACGUGGGAGCAACAAAACGGAAGUACAUCUCUCUUGUGGCACUGCUAAGCAAAACAAAGUCACGCAGCGAUCCGGAUUAAUGUAUGAAAGGUCGACACUAAUACUAACGCAGAAGAAAGCAAACUCCCGGCUCUUCGGUGCAAAUAUAGAGUGGACCAAAGCACCGGUACGACGAUCACCUAGAGGUCCAGGACUUAUCAGGACAAAUAAAUCUGAAAAUACACGAAGGA